RNAcentral lists this ribosomal RNA (253 nucleotides) under uncultured bacterium. RNAcentral's name for it is "partial 16S ribosomal RNA". It matches the Rfam family "Bacterial small subunit ribosomal RNA", at positions 524 to 776 of the family's 1533-position model. The record is from RNAcentral.
UCCGAGGGAGGCAAUCGUUGUCCGGAAUCACUGGGCGUAAAGCGCCCGUAGGCGGAGAUGCAAGUCACUGGUGCAACCCUGUGGCCCAACCGGAGGAAUGCCAGUGAAACUGCAGGUCUAGAGGGUGGGAGAGGCGGACGGAAUUCCGAGAGUAGAGGUGAAAUGCGUAGAUACUGGGAAGAACACCGGAGGCGAAAGCGGCCCGCUGGACCGAAACUGACGCUGAGGUGCGAAAGCGUGGGGAGCAAAUGGG